AGAAAAUGGAGGGGUUGCCGCUGCCACACAGCAAUUACCAUGCAGAAAAAGGAGUUGAGAAGGGAGUAGCCUCUGAUAUGUAGUCAGCAUGAAUCAGCCUUAGGUUCCCUGCCUCCAUACCCAAUUCUUCUGCCUCAUUAUGAUUCCACUAUGAGGCAUCCAGAGUAGUCAAACUUAUAAAGACAGAAAGUAGAGCUGUGGCUGCCAGGUGGGUGGAAGGAGAGAGAAGUAGUUAUUGCUUAAUGAGUAGGAAAUUUCAGUUUGGGAAGACGAAAAAUGUUCUGAAGAUGGAUGGUGGUGAUGGUCGUGCAACAAUGUGAAUGUACUUGAUGCCACAUAAAAAGUGGCUAACAUGUGCCAGGGCUGAGAAACUCAGCUGUGGGGAAAGCCAGCUGCCCUAAAAUCAUUACGUUAUGAGGAAAUCCAUGCUUACUGUGUGCACAGACCACAUGGAAGGAGAGAAAACACCUGAACAGCUCCAACUGUGGCAGCCAUACCAGCCCAGAUGCCAGACAGUGAAUGAAGACGGGCAUCCCAUUCCCAGUAGAAAUGACGUGAAGAACCGAAAAAAACUCACCGACAGCCCUAGAUAUACACCUCCAGGUGACCAACCCAGACACCACCAACAGUUAGCGCUACUCCAGCUGAAUACUCCCCAACAAAAAUCUAUCCUUGCUAUGUGUUGCCUGAAUUCAUGACCAACAACGGUAUGAACAUAAUAAAAUGAUUGUUAUUUUAUGCC
RNAcentral lists this long non-coding RNA (742 nucleotides) under Homo sapiens (human). RNAcentral's name for it is "HSALNT0349720". The record is from RNAcentral. Lineage: Eukaryota; Metazoa; Chordata; Mammalia; Primates; Hominidae.